UACAUAUGUUGAUGAAUCCUUUA
Molecule: non-coding RNA, 23 nt
Filed under: Arabidopsis thaliana (thale cress)
Lineage: Eukaryota; Viridiplantae; Streptophyta; Magnoliopsida; Brassicales; Brassicaceae
Source: RNAcentral